GGCUGUCCGAGUUGUAAUCUGGAGAAGCGUUUUCUGUGUUAGACCGUGUACAAGUCUCCUGGAACGGAGCCUCAUAGAGGGUGAGAAUCCCGUCCAUGACACGGACUACUAAUACUUUGUGAUACGCUCUCGAAGAGUCGAGUUGUUUGGGAAUGCAGCUCAAAAUGGGUGGUAAAUUCCAUCUAAAGCUAAAUACAGGCGAGAGACCGAUAGCGAACAAGUACCGUGAGGGAAAGAUGAAAAGCACUUUGGAAAGAGAGUUAAACAGUACGUGAAAUUGUUGAAAGGGAAACGCUUGAAGUCAGUCGCGUUGUGUAGAACUCAGCCUUGCCUCGGCUUGGUGUACUUUCUGCACAAAACGGGUCAACAUCAGUUUUGGCCCAUGGAGAAAGAUGGGGGGAAUGUAGCGCUGUUUCGGCAGCGUGUUAUAGCCCUCCAUUGUAUGCAUGGGUUGGGAUUGAGGAACGCAGCACGCCCUUGUGGCCGGGGGUUCGCCCUACGUACCGUGCUUAGGAUGUUGGCAGAAUGGCUUUAAGCGACCCGUCUUGAAACACGGACCAAGGAGUCUAACAUGCUUGCGAGUGUUCGGGUGGAAAACCCUUGUGCGUAAUGAAAGUGAAAGUUGGGAACCUCCGCAAGGGGGUGCACCGACGCCCGGCCCUGACGUUCUCUGACGGUGCUGCGGUAGAGCAAGUAUGCUGGGACCCGAAAGAUGGUGAACUAUGCCUGAAUAGGGCGAAGCCAGAGGAAACU
This 753-nucleotide ribosomal RNA is filed under the name Fomitiporia atlantica. RNAcentral describes it as "eukaryotic LSU rRNA". It matches the Rfam family "Eukaryotic large subunit ribosomal RNA", at positions 132 to 863 of the family's 3401-position model. The record is from RNAcentral. Lineage: Eukaryota; Fungi; Basidiomycota; Agaricomycetes; Hymenochaetales; Hymenochaetaceae.